This 512-nucleotide ribosomal RNA is filed under the name uncultured bacterium. RNAcentral's name for it is "partial 16S ribosomal RNA". It matches the Rfam family "Bacterial small subunit ribosomal RNA", at positions 28 to 507 of the family's 1533-position model. The record is from RNAcentral.
GAUGAACGCUGGCGGCGUGCCUAAUACAUGCAAGUCGAACGAAACUUCUUUAUCACCGAGUGCUUGCACUCACCGAUAAAGAGUUGAGUGGCGAACGGGUGAGUAACACGUGGGCAACCUGCCCAAAAGAGGGGGAUAACACUUGGAAACAGGUGCUAAUACCGCAUAACCAUAGUUACCGCAUGGUAACUAUGUAAAAGGUGGCUAUACUACCGCUUUUGGAUGGGCCCGCGGCGCAUUAGCUAGUUGGUAGGGUAAAGGCUUACCAAGGCAAUGAUGCGUAGCCGAAUUGAGAGGUUGAUCGGCCACAUUGGGACUGAGACACGGCCCAGACUCCUACGGGAGGCAGCAGUAGGGAAUCUUCCACAAUGGGCGAAAGCCUGAUGGAGCAACGCCGCGUGGGUGAAGAAGGUCUUCGGAUCGUAAAACCCUGUUGUUAGAGAAGAAAGUGCGUGAGAGUAACUGUUCACGUUUCGACGGUAUCUAACCAGAAAGCCACUGCUAACUACGUG